ACAGAAAAUCCUUCCUGCAGCAUGGGCCAGGUUAUACCGGAUGUCUCAUACAGGCCAGUAUCUUAUUCCAUGCAUGACUUACUCAUGUUGCAAAAGCAGGCCCUUGUGAUUAUAUAACAGCUCUCAAGAGGAAGCUGCUAACAAGACCAUCUGACAUUUUUUUGCCAGCUGUUUUAGUGGAGGCGUGUUGGAUUAGACUGAGCUCCACCUUCUCUGAUGAGCAAAGCAUUUGGAAAAUGACAGAGCCUGAAGAAAAAGGAAUUUCAAAAUCUGGCUCCCCAUUUUCUCCUGAGCAGGUCUGCUCUUCUACAUGUGUGGACAAGUAGGCAAGAGUGGUCUACAAGCUCCUUCUCAGCAAGCCCGGCUGUUAGGAGUCAUGACUUCGCAUGAUGCAGUGACUCCUGCUAAGUUCCUAUUAGUGGAAUCAUCUCACGGUCUUCUGGUAAUUGCUAGAGAAAUUAAUGGAGUCUUUGGAAAAGGUUCUAUGAUAAACAUGAGAUGGUUGAAGAAGAACCUGGUGCACAUCAUGAUCAAAUGUUUUGAUGAAGUAUUUUGCUCCACCAGCCAGAUGAAGGAACAGAUUCCCUGA
RNAcentral lists this long non-coding RNA (589 nucleotides) under Anser brachyrhynchus (Pink-footed goose). RNAcentral describes it as "lncRNA (ENSABRG00000006959.1)". The record is from RNAcentral. Lineage: Eukaryota; Metazoa; Chordata; Aves; Anseriformes; Anatidae.